AGGUAGUAUCACCAAGAAAAACCCAUGUAGUUUGGCGGCAUUUCCCCCCAUCAGAGGAACUUGUUUUUUAAUCGAUAAUCCCCGUUAAAUCUUACUUUUUAUAUAAGCUUACAUACCGCCGUUUAAAGAAUAAUCCGACAAGAUGUAUUCUAAACAUUUCUUAUAAUAAAUCAGGUCAAGGUGUAGUCUAUUAAAAAGCUAAAAUGAGUUACAUUAAACACAAUUUAAGGAAUUAUCUUAAAUAAGAUCAAUGAAAAAGAAUUUGACAAUAAUUAUAAAAUAAUAAUUUAAAAUGAAUUUGUAAGUAAAUGUGC
Molecule: ribosomal RNA, 314 nt
Filed under: Ariadna insidiatrix
Lineage: Eukaryota; Metazoa; Arthropoda; Arachnida; Araneae; Segestriidae
Description: partial 12S ribosomal RNA
Source: RNAcentral